Canis lupus familiaris (dog) is the source of this 299-nucleotide long non-coding RNA. RefSeq lists it as uncharacterized. The transcript has 2 exons. The record is from RefSeq and is a predicted model, not a curated record. NCBI's taxonomy places the organism in Eukaryota, Metazoa, Chordata, Mammalia, Carnivora, Canidae.
UCUGUGAUGUCACAGAGACCAAGGGAAAAGACAGUCGUGAAGCCAGACUGGUCACAGACAUGAAUGACUAAGGCAGUAAAGGUGACUAUCUAUAGGCGCCAGUUGCUCUGGUGAGACAGAGGUCAGAGGUGACCGUUUGGAGAGCAGUUUCAAUGGAAUUAGAGGGCAGGUUAUAACAAACGAGGGAGUGGUUACAGGCCUGGACAGCAGAGAUAAGGUUUUCUUUUCUCUAACAAGAGCCAAUAAAAAGCAACCAUUAUUAAAAAAAAAAAAAAAAAAAAAGCUUAAUGCAAGACAAA